ACCUUGGUUCAGACUCCACACGAAUAAUGCAGCGCAUCUGUGUUUCACGCCGAACAAGGACCUACGGGCGCCGGCGAUCGCCGGAUCUUUAUGAAAUUAUCUCAACAUCACCCAGAGACAUAGUAUAAUCAAAGCAGGAAGCGAGGCAGGGAUAAACACGAACCGGAUAGGAUACCGAUCAUAGGUGGAACUGACACUGCGACACACACACACCACAACAACAAGCUCCAGCUGAGCAGACGCAGGCACGGUGGCCGGCGAGAGUGGCACCGCGUCGCUCGCUGGCUGCUGACUGGGCACUGGGCCUCGACACGACAACACUUUUAUUUAGCCCACGUCACCGCGCGACCCCGCGCAAAGCACCCCACACCUAGUACGUACUCGUAGUAAAAAGGUAGCACCCCACUCCACUCCACUGGCUGACUGAGCAUCGCGCCGUGCCACGUAGGAGCACACGGCCGCCGCCGCCGUGGACGCGCGCCUCACACGCUCACGGUGGCCUCCUCUGCCGCGGCCGCGGGCGCCUCCUCCGCUGCAGCCGGCGCUUCCUCGGCGACGGCCGCCACCUCCGGCUCGGCGGCAGCGGGUGCCGCCUCCUCCUCCUUCACCUCCUCGGCCGCCGCCGCCGGCUCGGCCUCUGCCACGGCCUCCUUGGUCUCCGUCUCGACCACGGCUGGCGCCUCGGCCACCGGCUCGGCCGCAGCUGCCGGCUCGGGCUCCUUGGCCUCCUCCGUCACGGCGGCGGCCGGCGCCUCCUCCUUGGCCGCCUCGACCUCGACGGGGGCAGGCGCCUCGACCUCGGCCUCCGCCGGCGCGGGGACCUCCUCCGUCUUCGCGGCCUCCUCGGCGGCCACGGGCGUCUCCACCGCCGGCGCCUCCUCCGUCAGCGCGGCCGUCGGGUUCUGGACCUGCACGUUUGCACACUCAAUGCCAUCAGCCCCACGCACAUGCCAGCACGUACACAAACCGAUCAAGCUCGAGCUCGACCACGAUCAUGGGCGUUCGUCAGAUCGCGUAGAUCCAUCGGAACGACCAUCGAUCCGAGAACAUGAAAGAGAACAGACGAUCGAUCGAUCCGAUCGAGGCAAGCUAGCUAUACGUACAUCAGCGGUGGCCAUUGCCGUGGUGGAAGCAAGAAAAUGCCCGGAGCUAGCUGAAGCUAGUGCUACUGUGACCCUGUUGUGUGCCUGUGGCUGAUCCGAUGAGAGAGUGUGAGGCGUGUGUGUCUGUGUGGAGCAAUGGAGGCUAUAUAUAGCGGCCUCCGGAGGCCAAAACGGGGAGAACACAAACGCAAAUCGAAGGCCAAAAAAAUUUAAAAACGAAGCCGAUCGACGGGUCGAGGAAAUAAACAAGCCGAGUCCGUCUCAUGAUGAUCGGGAAUCUGGGGAGCUGUAUGUGCAAAUAAGCACGUCCUGACGACGUGCGGUUGUACGUGCGCGUCAUGCCAUCGAAGUAAAAGGUGGCCCGUGAGUCAUGACACUGUGUAAAGGGUCCAAAGAACAUACCAGGGUGCCCGUGCACGGCCCGCGUCUAGUUCAUCUCGCUCCACAUGUUGCUCGAUCAGGAUCGGUCGUGCCACACACACACAAAUAUAUGUUCGAGAGAAAAGUUGCGAGAUUCUUGAACUUAUUUUCCAUUUUCCAUAAGUUUCCGUGUACGAUCGGCCCUGCUGUCACGUUGAUGUGUGUGCCGUGUGCUGGCCAAACCUGAUCCGGCCCUGGUGGCAGUGGCAACAUGCAAGUGGGACCUUUUGAGGUGUACACAACAACACAUCUCGUCCUCCUUGCACGUUCUGCGCCGUCCUUUCCAUCGGACCGUCGAUCCCUUACCGAUUAAUUAAAUAUAAAUGAAGCCCUCGCCGAUUUAGCCGUAGCAGUAAUCGAUUCCAUCAUCUGUGAUUUGGAUCGAAACGUAUUUGAUUAGCCUUUGUUUUGUACGUACGAGAUUACGAUAGCUGAGCAGGGGCGGCUGUCGUCCGGGUUGGCGUGGAGACAAUGGAGUUGGAACCGAUGAAUGUGCGCGCCUGAAUAGUCGCGAUUUGGUUUUGGGAUUUAGGUUAGCUCUCCGUCUCAGGGUAGUACGUGGCCACCCGGCCUAUGCUACCGUAUAGACUUUCUUUUCCAGCAGUACGUAUGUUCUUUUUCUUUUUCCUUUUUCUUUUCGAGAUGUGACGUGAUGUGGAUCGGUGAAACCUAAUUAAGGUCCUGGUUACGCAUAUGUUUGCUGAUGGAGAGGGGGAGGGCGGCAUUCACUCAUUUUGCAAAACGAUUAUAUAUAUAUAUAUAUAUUGUCAUACACAGUAUGUAUGAUGUGCUAGGUAAUCCAGGGGUAAAAGUUUCUUUUAUUAUAGAAAAAAAAAUAAGGUGGUGGUGUCGAAUGGACCAAGGUUUUUUGUGAGAGCAAUUCCAGAUCCCCAAGCAAUCACCGCUGGAAUCGUGUCCCUGUUCUAGCGCUACAGUGGUAGCCUGCAUGUGUCAUGCUUCAGAGUCGAUCAGCAACAACAAUUAUGACAGCAACUGGAUGGAUGUCCCCCAUCACCUUUGGCUCUGGGGCUCGUCUACUUGCUCCGGCCUCCACCACCUUUGCCCGAAAGCUAGCGUAGAUAUAUGCAAGACGAUUACUACCGCGCCGCAGGGGUAGUUGUCCAUGGAUCAACCUCACGCUCCAAAACAAGAAACUUAUCAGAAAAGCAACGGGGAUAUCAUCAGCGGGACAGCGAGAUUACACUAACACGAAGUAGCACGCCACUAAUUAAUCGUCGCCACCUGAUCUCUUCCCUCGCCGGUCACCGCCGCCGAAAGGUCGAGAGACGGACAUGCGCAGCAAGGUAGCUGAGCUCUUACAAAAUGAGUGAAACCCCUUGGUUGCCCAUGUAAUCUUCUUUCCUCCUCUAAACUAAUUGCUUGCAGAUGAUUUUUGGCCCCGGUGGAGUGGAGGCGAUGGGGUUGGGCAGCUUUCUUUUCGAGAAAAUUCUCGCCGCCGUCGUUGUCGUCGCUUUAAACCGGCCAUUCAGAUCAUCAGAUGGCAUGGAAAGCGACGAGCAAGCAGAGUCCGCACCGGGCGUCCAACAUGCGCCGGCCACGGCCAGUGCCCGGUAGGACGGUCCGCUGGGC
Molecule: long non-coding RNA, 3113 nt
Filed under: Hordeum vulgare
Lineage: Eukaryota; Viridiplantae; Streptophyta; Magnoliopsida; Poales; Poaceae
Description: long non-coding RNA (HVUL_LNC013415)
Source: RNAcentral